GACGAACGCUGGCGGCGUGCUUAACACAUGCAAGUCGAACGGAAAGGCCAUGCUUUUGUGGGGUGCUCGAGUGGCGAACGGGUGAGUAACACGUGAGUAACAUGCCCUUGACUUUGGGAUAACUUCAGGAAAAUGGGGCUAAUACCGGAUAGGAGCUCCUGCUGCAUGGUGGGGGUUGGAAAGUUUCGGCGGUUGUGGAUGGACUCGCGGCUUAUCAGCUUGUUGGUGGGGUAGUGGCUUACCAAGGCUUUGACGGGUAGCCGGCCUGAGAGGGUGACCGGCCACAUUGGGACUGAGAUACGGCCCAGACGCCUACGGGAGGCAGCAGUGGGGAAUAUUGCACAAUGGGCGGAAGCCUGAUGCAGCAACGCCGCGUGCGUGAUGACGGCCUUCUGGUUGUAAACCGCUUUCGCCUGUGACGAAGCGUGAGUGACGGUAAUGGGUAAAGAAGCACCGGCUAACUACGUG
Molecule: ribosomal RNA, 468 nt
Filed under: uncultured bacterium
Lineage: Bacteria
Description: partial 16S ribosomal RNA
Rfam family: Bacterial small subunit ribosomal RNA
Source: RNAcentral